Molecule: ribosomal RNA, 468 nt
Filed under: uncultured bacterium
Lineage: Bacteria
Description: partial 16S ribosomal RNA
Rfam family: Bacterial small subunit ribosomal RNA
Source: RNAcentral
GACGAACGCUGGCGGUGUGCUUAACACAUGCAAGUCGAACGGUAAGGCCCUUUCGGGGGUACACGAGUGGCGAACGGGUGAGUAACACGUGAGUAACCUGCCCUCAUCUCUGGGAUAACAGUCGGAAACGGUUGCUAAUACUGGAUAUGAGCUUGCAAGGCAUCUUGUGGGUUGGAAAGAUUUUUUUUGGUUGUGGAUGGACUCGCGGCCUAUCAGCUUGUUGGUGGGGUAGUGGCUCACCAAGGCUUCGACGGGGAGCCGGCCUGAGAGGGCGACCGGCCACAUAGGGACUGUGAGACGGCCCAAAGUCCGACGGGGGGCAGCAGUGGGGAAUAUUGCACAAUGGACGGAAGUCUGAUGCAGCAACGCCGCGUGCGGGAUAACAGCCUUCGGGUUGUAAACCGCUUUCAAUUGUGACGCAGCGUUUUUGUGACGGUAGCAGGAGAAGAAGCACCGGCUAACUACGUG